RNAcentral lists this ribosomal RNA (467 nucleotides) under uncultured bacterium. RNAcentral describes it as "partial 16S ribosomal RNA". It matches the Rfam family "Bacterial small subunit ribosomal RNA", at positions 28 to 506 of the family's 1533-position model. The record is from RNAcentral.
GACGAACGCUGGCGGCGUGCUUAACACAUGCAAGUCGAACGGGAAGGCCCUGCUUUUGUGGGGUGCUCGAGUGGCGAACGGGUGAGUAACACGUGAGUAACCUGCCCUUGACUUUGGGAUAACUUCAGGAAACUGGGGCUAAUACCGGAUAGGAGCUCCUGCUGCAUGGUGGGGGUUGGAAAGUUUCGGCGGUUGGGGAUGGACUCGCGGCUUAGCAGCUUGUUGGUGGGGUAGUGGCUUACCAAGGCUUUGACGGGUAGCCGGCCUGGGAGGGUGACCGGCCACAUUGGGACUGAGAUACGGCCCAGACUCCUACGGGAGGCAGCAGUGGGGAAUAUUGCACAAUGGGCGGAAGCCUGAUGCAGCAACGCCGCGUGCGGGAUGACGGCCUUCGGGUUGUAAACCGCUUUCGCCUGUGACGAAGCGUGAGUGACGGUAAUGGGUAAAGAAGCACCGGCUAACUACGU